UCAGUUGUUUUUAAAACAUUUUGCUAACAGUUUAUCUCUCAGAUUGGGUAAUGUAUGCUCUAAAAUUUGCCACAAAACAUAAAAUUCAUAAAAUUGGAAAAAAAGAUUCUUAACUAAUUCUUUAUCUGUGCUUUGGGAAACAUACCUUGUAUUCAUUUCUGUCUGUAAAAGACAGCAUUAUGUUGACAGAUAAAGGUACAUCCACAAUCCUCUCAAAACUUUACUAAGGUCAUAGAUCCCCUCCUUCCCACCCGCCAGUAUUUAAGGGAAUUUGGUAAUGUGCUUGAAAGGUGUUUGAUUUUUUCCAAGUAAAGAGAAAGAAGGGGAUGAGCUUUGAGAGAAGGAGACUAAUUUAAAUUGUCUCCCUUUCUUUUUUUUUUUUGGACCUUUUCUCUUCCAGAAGAAAGUUCUGGUGAAGUUUGUUAAAAAGAAGUUUCCAAGCCAUUUACUCUUUUUUUAAACAAACCUAAAGCUUUUGGAUUUAUUGGACUUUUCUGUCUUUGUAUGGGUUGAAUAUCACAGCUAAUAGCACAGUAAUAAUUACAUGUCAUUCUCUUUAUCCUCUUUGUGCACUGCCAAUCAGCAAAGGUGUCCCAUUUCACACAUCAUUUGCAACGUCCUAUGGUAAUACCGCAUAUUUUGGGGAAUAGCUGUUGAAUGUAGUCAUUAAUCUCUAUUUUGAGAUGUGUAGUUCCAGAUUCUGGACCCAAUUCUGUGAUUAUUUGAAUAUACAGAGUUCUUGGUGAAGUCAAUGGGCUAGCAAGACUAUGCUCAGAUCCCAAGAGAAAGAAUACAGUCCUAGUUACAGUAUCUGACUGCCUGUGCAGAAACAUUCGCCAAUUGUUGCUGUGUGUCACUGAAGAGGAGAGAUACAGCAGUUUCCACUAGGCAGUGAGAGUGAAAGGAGUCACUGGCAGAUGAACUUUGUGGCAUACCAAAUGGUUUCAGGUUGAAUCUGUUUCAGUUAGAAAUUCACAGAAAACCAGCAACUAUAUUUAUACAUUUUAAUGGGCUGAAUAUAGGAUCAACUCCUAUGAACUUCUGCUGUCUUCAUCACUCAUAUGAAACACACCCUUGGCUAUUUCAAUUUCACCUCUGUUUCAUCAUUACCAUAAACACCAUGUAUGUGUUGGUUUAUUAGUGGUGCUGAGAAGUAGUUGGUGCAGCUAAUGUUUUUAUAGUACUUUAACUAGAGGAGCAUAACAGAAAUAUUUUCUAUUAUUGUUAUUAAUGUUUUCAAUGAUAUCUUUACUGAGUGGGUUCUCUGCUUUGAGAUGUAAAUACACAGAUGAAUGGCCUUGAUUCUGCUAUUUUUGAAAUUACCUGGAAAUAUGAGGGAGAUAGUUUGGGUAGUUUAUUUGUUAGAUACCCUUUUCCUGAUAUAUUUUUCCUUCUACUGAUUCCCAGAUACUGUGCUAUAGAUCAUGGUUUACAAUGAUCAGAAAGGAUGCUGACAUAAAGUAUUAUUGUUGAAAGCAGAAAGAGAGAUUUUACUUAUCAGCUUGAGACACUUUACAAAUAAAUUCAUUACCAUCACAACAACAAAGUUGAACAUAAUCUCAUUCGUGUACCAUAGAGGACAGUUCUGAGUUUUGUACUAGCACGCCUUCAAUUUUUGUUGCUAAAACAUAUGAUUUUUUUUUUAAAUUAUCAUAUUUCUGAAAAAGUUCAAGAUUUGAAUGUCUCUCACAGUCUUCACAAUCAUGAAAGCAAAAUUAAAACUUAGAUAAAAAGGAAAAUAUAAUCAUGGCUUUGAAUCUAAUAUUUGGGCAUUAGCCCCAAAUGUUUACUAAUUAUGCCCUUAAGUAACACCUCAGGAUCAGAGAAGCUAAAUGGGGGAAAGAAUGUGAAGAAAAACAGCUAUUCUUCUCUAAAAAAUUAAAAUUGUUCAUUCAAUUAAAAAACCCUUAAUAAAAGUCCGUACUUGCAUUCAUGUUGCCCACGGGAAGGUCUAAUUCAUGCUGGCCAUUAAUGAAAGCUUUAUAUGGCCUUUAAGGAAAAACUGACAAGUUACCACAGCAACCUUAGUAAUGCUUGUUAACGUAUAUAAGAAAUAAAAUCUGGAUACUUAGAAUGCAUCCUAAAUUCUUGUUUUAUAAGAUAAAACUUAGUCAAAUGUUAAUAGGUUUAAAAGAUUUGUAAUUUCAGUUACUGAUACAUUCUUAUGUAUGUUUUUAAAUGGUGUACUGAAAGGUCUUUCUUUUGCAGUUGACAAGUCUACUGUUUGAUUACAUGUGAACCAAUGUCUGGCAAUAAGUUGGCCAUUGUAAUACUUCUUUGCUCAAUUCACUUAGUAUAGAGAUAAUAUUUUCUAAAUUGGAACUU
Molecule: long non-coding RNA, 2325 nt
Organism: Aquila chrysaetos chrysaetos
Lineage: Eukaryota; Metazoa; Chordata; Aves; Accipitriformes; Accipitridae
Exons: 4
Source: RefSeq, a predicted model, not a curated record